UCCGGUUUGACACCGGCAGUCUCGCUAGAGUCCCCGCCACCCGAAGGCGCGCUGGCAACUAACGAUAGGGGUUUCGCUCGUUAAGGGACUUAACCCGACACUUCACAGCACGAGCUGACGACAGCCAUGCAGCACCUGUGCACGUUCCACUCAAAGAGCGUCACAACUGUUUCUAGUUGCUAAUCCGUGCAUGUCAAACCCUGGAUAAGGUUCUUCGCGUUGCUUCGAAUUAAGCCACAUGCUCCACCGCUUGUGUGAGCCCCCGUCAAUUCCUUUGAGUUUUAGCCUUGCGACCGUACUCCCCAGGCGGUGUACUUAACACUUUAGCUUCGAUGGCGCCGGCGUCAGAGCCUUCGCCAUCUAGUACACAUCGUUUAGGGCGUGGACUAC
RNAcentral lists this unclassified non-coding RNA (390 nucleotides) under uncultured Phycisphaeraceae bacterium. RNAcentral's name for it is "contains 16S-23S intergenic spacer region". The record is from RNAcentral. Lineage: Bacteria; Pseudomonadati; Planctomycetota; Phycisphaerae; Phycisphaerales; Phycisphaeraceae.